GAUGAACGCUGGCGGCGUGCUUAACACAUGCAAGUCGAACGGUGAAGGCGGAGCUUGCUCUGCUGGAUCAGUGGCGAACGGGUGAGUAACACGUGAGCAAUCUGCCCCUGACUCUGGGAUAAGCGCUGGAAACGGCGUCUAAUACUGGAUACGAGCUGCGAAGGCAUCUUCAGCAGCUGGAAAGAAUUUCGGUCAGGGAUGAGCUCGCGGCCUAUCAGCUUGUUGGUGAGGUAAUGGCUCACCAAGGCGUCGACGGGUAGCCGGCCUGAGAGGGUGACCGGCCACACUGGGACUGAGACACGGCCCAGACUCCUACGGGAGGCAGCAGUGGGGAAUAUUGCACAAUGGGCGAAAGCCUGAUGCAGCAACGCCGCGUGAGGGACGACGGCCUUCGGGUUGUAAACCUCUUUUAGCAGGGAAGAAGCGAAAGCGACGGUACCUGCAGAAAAAGCGCCGGCUAACUACGUG
RNAcentral lists this ribosomal RNA (468 nucleotides) under uncultured bacterium. Its description in RNAcentral is "partial 16S ribosomal RNA". It matches the Rfam family "Bacterial small subunit ribosomal RNA", at positions 28 to 507 of the family's 1533-position model. The record is from RNAcentral.